This 199-nucleotide unclassified non-coding RNA is filed under the name Lyophyllum leucophaeatum. Its description in RNAcentral is "partial internal transcribed spacer 2". The record is from RNAcentral. Lineage: Eukaryota; Fungi; Basidiomycota; Agaricomycetes; Agaricales; Lyophyllaceae.
AAUUAAUCAAUCCUUACAGUUUUGUUACUGUUAAGGACUUGGAUUGUGGAGGUUGCGGGCUUUCUAACAAGUCGGCUCCUCUUAAAAGCAUGAGUGAAACCUUUGUUAACAAUCUCUAGUGUGAUAAUUAUCUACGCUACUGAUAUUAAUAAGGAUUUGCUUUCUAACUGUCUUUACUUUGAAGACAAUUUAUUGACCA